Molecule: non-coding RNA, 433 nt
Organism: Malus domestica (apple)
Lineage: Eukaryota; Viridiplantae; Streptophyta; Magnoliopsida; Rosales; Rosaceae
Source: RefSeq, a predicted model, not a curated record
AAAAAAUUUGAUGUACCAAAUGUUGAAAACCACGAAAUAUGAGGGUAGUAAACAGUCUUUUACCCUUAAAUCUUUGUCCAAAAAUGUAAAAUUAAGAACUAACGGUUCAUAAGUCUAGAGUGGUUAAUUAUUUACUAUUUUCAUUAUUUACUAUUUUUAAUUAUUUACUGUUUUCAUUUCUAAUUUAUAACUUGUGGAAAGUGAAGACCUUGUUUUGCUUAUUGAAGCUAUGUAUGGUUAACUAGAUUACAAUAAUGAUAUUUAAACCCAUAAAAUUAGCACAGGUGGAUCUCACAGUAAACUAUACGACCCACCUAUAAGAGAGUUAGUUAGCAAGUGUGAAUGUAGUGCAUCCAAAUUGAAUUGAUUAGGUUAGAGUAUUGCAACUUUAAGAUGCUGUAUAUAUCGACAAGGUGAACAAUUUUAGAUUUAA